GGGGUUGUGGCUCAGCGGUAGAGUGCUCACCUAGCAUGUGCAGGGUGCUGGGUUUGAUCCUCAGCACCACA
RNAcentral lists this transfer RNA (71 nucleotides) under Marmota monax (woodchuck). RNAcentral's name for it is "tRNA.Ala". Lineage: Eukaryota; Metazoa; Chordata; Mammalia; Rodentia; Sciuridae. The record is from RNAcentral.